RNAcentral lists this ribosomal RNA (301 nucleotides) under uncultured bacterium. RNAcentral describes it as "partial 16S ribosomal RNA". It matches the Rfam family "Bacterial small subunit ribosomal RNA", at positions 509 to 807 of the family's 1533-position model. The record is from RNAcentral.
CAGUCGCCGCGGGAAUACAGAGGGUGCGAGCGUUAAUCGGAUUUACUGGGCGUAAAGCGUGCGUAGGCGGCUUCUUAAGUCGGAUGUGAAAUCCCUGAGCUUAACUUAGGAAUUGCAUUCGAUACUGGGAAGCUAGAGUAUGGGAGAGGAUGGUAGAAUUCCAGGUGUAGCGGUGAAAUGCGUAGAGAUCUGGAGGAAUACCAAUGGCGAAGGCAGCCAUCUGGCCUAAUACUGACGCUGAGGUACGAAAGCAUGGGGAGCAAACAGGAUUAGAUACCCCCGUAGUCCCUGUCUCUUAUAC